CGUGCAGGUGGUUUUGUAAGUGGUGCGUGAAAGCGCUCGGCUCAACCGGGCGAGUGCGUGCCAAACUGCGGAACUAGAAACAGGCAGAGGAAAGUGGAAUUCGGGGUGUAGUGGUGAAAUGCGUAGAGAUCCCGAGGAACUCCUGUGGCGAAGGCGACUUUCUGGGCCUGCUUUGACACUCAGACGCGAAAGCAUGGGGAGCGAACGGGAUUAGAAACCCCGGUAGUCCAUGCCGUAAACGAUGUCCACUGGGCGUUUGCCUCGCAAGAGGUGAGUGCCGCAGCUAACGCGCUAAGUGGACCGCCUGGGGAGUACGACCGCAAGGUUAAA
Molecule: ribosomal RNA, 330 nt
Filed under: uncultured bacterium
Lineage: Bacteria
Description: bacterial SSU rRNA
Rfam family: Bacterial small subunit ribosomal RNA
Source: RNAcentral